GAAAGCCUCCAUCAUCCCAAU
RNAcentral lists this small nuclear RNA (21 nucleotides) under Arabidopsis thaliana (thale cress). Its description in RNAcentral is "snRNA_06736". The record is from RNAcentral. Lineage: Eukaryota; Viridiplantae; Streptophyta; Magnoliopsida; Brassicales; Brassicaceae.